This 255-nucleotide ribosomal RNA is filed under the name uncultured bacterium. RNAcentral's name for it is "partial 16S ribosomal RNA". It matches the Rfam family "Bacterial small subunit ribosomal RNA", at positions 99 to 354 of the family's 1533-position model. The record is from RNAcentral.
CGGACGGGUGAGUAACGCGUGGGUAACCUGCCUUGCACUGGGGGAUAACACUUAGAAAUAGGUGCUAAUACCGCAUAAGCGCACGGUCCUGCAUGGGACAGUGUGAAAAACUCCGGUGGUGCAAGAUGGACCCGCGUCUGAUUAGCUGGUUGGCGGGGUAAAGGCUCACCAAGGCGACGAUCAGUAGCCGGACUGAGAGGUUGGCCGGCCACAUUGGGACUGAGAUACGGCCCAGACUCCUACGGGAGGCAGCAG